Molecule: ribosomal RNA, 396 nt
Filed under: Aleuroglyphus ovatus (brown legged grain mite)
Lineage: Eukaryota; Metazoa; Arthropoda; Arachnida; Sarcoptiformes; Acaridae
Description: partial 12S ribosomal RNA
Source: RNAcentral
AAACUAGGAUUAGAUACCCUAGUAUUUUAGGGUUAUUAUUAAGUAGUAGAUAAUUUUUAUUAAACUUAAUUUUUCUGGCGGUUUAUUACCCAUUCACAGGAAUUUGUUAAUUUUAAAAGAUAACCCGCCUUUAUUAUAACCAAUCUAAAUUUUAUGUACGGCUGUUAGGCUUUAAUUUAAUUAUUUUUGCUUUAAGAUUUAAUCCCUUAAUUCAGGUCUAUGUGUAGAAGAUAAAUUGGUUUUUAAUGAGUUACUAUAAUAGGGGAAUUUUUUUAUAUAAAUAAUUUAAUUUGGAUGUGAAAGUAAAAUAGAUAUUAAAAUUUCUAUUUGAAGAAGGACCCUAAUAAAAGUACAUAUCGCCCGUCACUCUUUUGAUAGAUAAGUCGUAACAUAGUA